This 74-nucleotide transfer RNA is filed under the name Ovis aries (sheep). It matches the Rfam family "tRNA". Rfam says of the family: Transfer RNA (tRNA) molecules are approximately 80 nucleotides in length. Their secondary structure includes four short double-helical elements and three loops (D, anti-codon, and T loops). Further hydrogen bonds mediate the characteristic L-shaped molecular structure. tRNAs have two regions of fundamental functional importance: the anti-codon, which is responsible for specific mRNA codon recognition, and the 3' end, to which the tRNAs corresponding amino acid is attached (by aminoacyl-tRNA synthetases). tRNAs cope with the degeneracy of the genetic code in two manners: having more than one tRNA (with a specific anti-codon) for a particular amino acid; and 'wobble' base-pairing, i.e. permitting non-standard base-pairing at the 3rd anti-codon position. The record is from Rfam by way of RNAcentral. Lineage: Eukaryota; Metazoa; Chordata; Mammalia; Artiodactyla; Bovidae.
GGCUCCGUGGCUUAGCUGGUUGAAGAGCCUGUCUAGCAAAUAGGAGAUCUUGGGUUCAAACCCCAGUGGGGCCU